AUGGAUGAUAAAUUUGGGCAUGAUGUUUUCUCCAAAUUGGGUUUUGACUGUUGGAAAAAUGCGGUUGCAGCAUUCCGUAAACAUGUUGGUGGGCCAUGUAGCAUCCACAAUAUUUCAAAAACAGCAUGUGAUGAUUUUAAAAAUCAAAGGGCAAGUGUGAAAAGUAAAGUUACAACUUAUAGCAAAGGUUCACUAGUCAAGUAUGAAACUCGUGUGGAUACAUCUUUGGCCAUUGUAAGUUAUCUAGCAUUGCAAGGUGAACCAUUUCGUGGACACGAUGAAUCCAGUUCUUCUUUGAACAAGGGGAAUUUUUUGGAGCUACUUGAUUGGGUGAAAGAAAGAAUUCCAGAAGUGAAGGUUGCAUUUGAUGAGCUAUGCCCUAAGAAUGCCCAAAUGACUUCCGGAAAAAUUCAAAAAAUCCUUAUUUCCCAUUGUGCAAAUGCGGUCACCAAAGCAAUCAAAGAAGAGAUGGGUGAUUGUCUUUUCUCUGUCCUUAUUGAUGAGUGUCGUGAUAUAUCGGUGAAAGAACAAAUGGUUGUGGUUAUUAGGUACUUGAGCAAACAAGGAGAGACUAUUGAACGAUUUUUAGGUAUUAAGCAUGUCCCGGACACAACAUCUGCUUCUUUAAAGAAGGCAUUGUUGGAGGUUUUUGCAAAACACGGUCUGGUUGUUGCGCGACUACGAGGGCAAGGGUAUGAUGGGGAAUCUAAUAUGAGAGGAGAAUUCAAUGGCCUUCAGAAGUUAAUUCGAGAUGAGAACCCAUAUGCUUUCUAUAUCCAUUGCUUUGCCCACCAACUGCAGUUGGUAGUUGUUGCUGUUUCGAGAUGCUGCAAGGGUGUUGAGGAUUUUUUUGAAUAUGUGACCAUGAUAUCUAAUCUCAGUACGUCAUCUUGCAAGAGGAAGGAUAAAUUGCUUGACAAGCAAAAACAAGUUCUUUUGGAUAAGAUUAGGGGAGGUGAGAUGCCCACAGGAAAAGGGAAAAAUCAAGAAACAUCAUUGGUCAGACCUGGAGAUACAAGAUGGGGCUCUCAUUACACAACCUUAUCUCGCAUUGAAUCAAUGUGGGAUGCAGUCAUAGAAGUUUUGGGCAUUGUUGAGGAUGAUGUGCGUGUUCCAUGUAGAGCAGGAGGUUUGGUUCAUCAAAUGGAGACUUUUAGCUUUGUGUUCAUCCUGAAGAUGAUGCUAAAGAUCCUUCGUAUGACAAAUGAUUUGUCUCUUCUAUUGCAAAAGAAGGAUCAAAAUGUUGUUCAGGCAAUGUCAUUGGUUACGGAUGUGAGAACACGUUUGAUCAACUAG
RNAcentral lists this ribosomal RNA (1296 nucleotides) under Triticum aestivum (bread wheat). RNAcentral describes it as "partial small subunit ribosomal RNA". Lineage: Eukaryota; Viridiplantae; Streptophyta; Magnoliopsida; Poales; Poaceae. The record is from RNAcentral.